Molecule: ribosomal RNA, 253 nt
Filed under: uncultured bacterium
Lineage: Bacteria
Description: partial 16S ribosomal RNA
Rfam family: Bacterial small subunit ribosomal RNA
Source: RNAcentral
UACAGAGGAGGCGAGCGUUAUUCGGAAUUAUUGGGCGUAAAGGGCGCGUAGGCGGCCUUUCAAGUGACGGGUGAAAUCCCUCGGCUUAACCGAGGAACUGCCUGUCAGACUGGAAGGCUUGAGACCGGGAGAGGUGAGUGGAAUUCCCAGUGUAGCGGUGAAAUGCGCAGAUAUCGGGAGGAACACCGAUUGCGAAGGCAGCUCGCUGGAACGUUACUGACGCUGAGACGCGAAAGCGUGGGGAGCAAACAGG